GAUGAAGAACGCAGCAAAAUGCGAUAAGUAAUGUGAAUUGCAGAAUUCAGUGAAUCAUCGAAUCUUUGAACGCACAUUGCGCCCGCCAGUAUUCUGGCGGGCAUGCCUGUUCGAGCGUCAUUUCAACCCUCAAGCACAGCUUGGUGUUGGGACUCGCGUUAAUUCGCGUUCCCCAAAUUGAUUGGCGGUCACGUCGAGCUUCCAUAGCGUAGUAGUAAAACCCUCGUUACUGGUAAUCGUCGCGGCCACGCCGUUAAACCCCAACUUCUGAAUGUUGACCUCGGAUCAGGUAGGAAUACCCGCUGAACUUAAGCAUAUCAAUAAGCGAGGA
Molecule: unclassified non-coding RNA, 331 nt
Filed under: soil metagenome
Description: partial contains 5.8S ribosomal RNA, internal transcribed spacer 2, and large subunit ribosomal RNA
Rfam family: 5.8S ribosomal RNA (bases 1-120)
Source: RNAcentral